Molecule: transfer RNA, 73 nt
Filed under: Orbicella faveolata
Lineage: Eukaryota; Metazoa; Cnidaria; Anthozoa; Scleractinia; Merulinidae
Description: tRNA-Ile
Rfam family: tRNA
About the family: Transfer RNA (tRNA) molecules are approximately 80 nucleotides in length. Their secondary structure includes four short double-helical elements and three loops (D, anti-codon, and T loops).
Source: RNAcentral
GGUCCGUUAGCUCAGUCGGCAGAGCGCGGUGCUGAUAACGCCGAGGUCGUGAGUUCGAGCCUCACACGGACCA